GUAUAUACUACACGUGAUUCUGAUAUUUAAUAGUACAAAAAUUUCCAAAUCUAAUAGAUCUUGAGGAGGUAGGUACAGACACAGUUCUUCCUGCCCUAAGGGCAUAUGGUCUUGAAAAUUGACAUUGCGGUACUAAAUUUCGCAGUAGGUCAGAAGAGUAGUAACUCCGCUGUAACUUAAGUAACUUGUGCUAAUUAACACCAAAUUGCACUCAAAAUCAUGUUGUUACCUAUACCUAAUAAAUGAGGAUAUAGUGACCACUCAGAACUGAGGGUGUGACAGGUUUGUACCAGCUCUGUACAUUUCAUAAUGAAUGCUUCUUUCCAUACAUUUCUUGUAGCGUCUUGGUUUGACAUUUCUGAAGCCAAGAAUAGCAGCCUGGAGAUAUCAGAGAGGGAGUCGAUCUUUGGCUUACAACCUUGCCAAUCCAUUCUCUCAAGAACAGAAUGAAAAUAGUCACCACACAGCAGGACUAAACACAG
Long non-coding RNA from Pocillopora damicornis (cauliflower coral), 482 nucleotides. NCBI's taxonomy places the organism in Eukaryota, Metazoa, Cnidaria, Anthozoa, Scleractinia, Pocilloporidae. The record is from RefSeq and is a predicted model, not a curated record.